RNAcentral lists this ribosomal RNA (468 nucleotides) under uncultured bacterium. Its description in RNAcentral is "partial 16S ribosomal RNA". It matches the Rfam family "Bacterial small subunit ribosomal RNA", at positions 28 to 507 of the family's 1533-position model. The record is from RNAcentral.
GACGAACGCUGGCGGCGUGCUUAACACAUGCAAGUCGAACGGAAAGGCCCUGCUUUUGUGGGGUGCUCGAGUGGCGAACGGGUGAGUAACACGUGAGUAACCUGCCCUUGACUUUGGGAUAACUUCAGGAAACUGGGGCUAAUACCGGAUAGGAGCUCCUGCUGCAUGGUGGGGGUUGGAAAGUUUCGGCGGUUGGGUAUGGACGCGCGGCUUAUCAGCUUGUUGGUGGGGUAGUGGCUUACCAAGGCUUUGACGGGUAGCCGGCCUGAGAGGGUGACCGGCCACAUUGGGACUGAGAUACGGCCCAGACUCCUACGGGAGGCAGCAGUGGGGAAUAUUGCACAAUGGGCGGAAGCCUGAUGCAGCAACGCCGCGUGCGGGAUGACGGCCUUCGGGUUGUAAACCGCUUUCGCCUGUGACGAAGCGUGAGUGACGGUAAUGGGUAAAGAAGCACCGGCUAACUACGUG